Long non-coding RNA from Oreochromis aureus, 239 nucleotides. RefSeq lists it as uncharacterized. Lineage: Eukaryota; Metazoa; Chordata; Actinopteri; Cichliformes; Cichlidae. The record is from RefSeq and is a predicted model, not a curated record. The transcript has 3 exons.
CUCUCCUCCGCCUCCUGCGACCUUUAGGCAGCAGCAGCCAGUGUGGACGAGGACAUGCCAGGAACAGGAAACACAAGAGAGUCAGCCGUCCGAGCUUCACGGGCCCGAAUCAGCAGCUGAACCCAAAUUCAGCCCACCGCUGCCUCCAAAUCUCCUCGUCCUCUCCUCCGCCUCCUGCGACCUUUAGGCAGCAGCAGCCAGUGUGGACGAGGACAUGCCAGGAACAGGAAACACAAGAG